AUUGAACGCUGGCGGCAUGCCUUACACAUGCAAGUCGAACGGCAGCACGGGAGCAAUCCUGGUGGCGAGUGGCGAACGGGUGAGUAAUAUAUCGGAACGUGCCCAGUCGUGGGGAUAACGUAGCGAAAGCUACGCUAAUACCGCAUACGAUCUAUGGAUGAAAGCGGGGGAUCGCAAGACCUCGCGCGAUUGGAGCGGCCGAUAUCAGAUUAGGUAGUUGGUGAGGUAAAGGCUCACCAAGCCGACGAUCUGUAGCUGGUCUGAGAGGACGACCAGCCACACUGGGACUGAGACACGGCCCAGACUCCUACGGGAGGCAGCAGUGGGGAAUUUUGGACAAUGGGCGCAAGCCUGAUCCAGCAAUGCCGCGUGCAGGAUGAAGGCCUUCGGUUGUAAACUGCUUUGUACGGUAACGAAACGGUAGAGCUCUAAUACAGUUUG
Molecule: ribosomal RNA, 441 nt
Filed under: uncultured bacterium
Lineage: Bacteria
Description: bacterial SSU rRNA
Rfam family: Bacterial small subunit ribosomal RNA
Source: RNAcentral